Non-coding RNA from Paramisgurnus dabryanus, 1195 nucleotides. Lineage: Eukaryota; Metazoa; Chordata; Actinopteri; Cypriniformes; Cobitidae. The record is from RefSeq and is a predicted model, not a curated record.
AUUUUAGAAAGUCCCAUGUGAACAUAAUAAGAGUUUGCUUAACAUUUAGUUUUACAAACGACUUCAACGUAUGAGCGUAUGUUAUGUGUGUGUGGUGGCCAAUCGGAAAAACAUUAUAUUUUCAAUGUGAAUAUGUGUAAACAUAAAGGCUGAAACCUAAUUUGCAUAAAAUAAAGUUUUAAAAUGUGUUUUUGUUUUGUAUUAAAUUGCUUUUGAGGCCAAGGUAGCUGUACAGUAAAUAUUCAGCCUCGAUCAGAAAACCACGUCCCACUGUCGUAACACACAGACCUGUGGCAAUGUGUAGUGAUUCGAGUAGUGUACAUCUACUCUGGUUAUCAUUUCAAAACAGUAUUUACUGAAAAAUAUGAGUGUUUAGCAUCAUGUAUUAAAUGUGUUAAAUAUGUCCUUUUUUCCCUGCAUUUAUUCUGCUGUCUAAAAUUCUUUGGGAGGAUAAAUGAAGGAGGAUGUAACAAAAUACACUGCAAGAACUGGAAUGAGAGACAAGUGAGGAUGAAGAAGACAACAGAAUAUCCAUCCUUUCUUCACCACCUCACAGAGUUUGAGUGAAACAACUUGUAUUAGGACUCACAGGAUUAUUUUAUAACAAGACUGAUUAUUUUAUACCAGAAGUAUGGUAUUUUUUUGAAGCUACUGUAUUAUUUCUUAUGACAAUUCAUUUUGAUGUGCAUUCAGAACUGUAAGUUGUGGUAGUGGAUCAUGAUCACCUCUCUAGCUUCAAAAGUAGGAUGCAAAAUGUAUAACACCAAAUCAUUAUAGCAUAACUCCAUGUAACUUGACAUAAUUUAAAGUUGUCUAAAGGCAGACAUGCUUGCGUGUGAAGUCCUAUGCCAAAGACUCUCCAAAUACUGCAUCUACACUUUCUUCCUGAUGUGUAUAUUUUGUUGGUAUAUCCUGGUUGUUGCAGACCUGACAGUAAACUUGACUGUGAGCAUCCUAUCCAUCAGGUAAAGCUGUUUACUUGCAUUACUCAUUUAGAGAAAUGACGGGUCAAAAUUGAUUAUAUGGAUUAUAUUUUCAUCACCCCUUUUUUUUAUGUCUUUGGGACACUUGAAAUAUAUAGCACGUAUAAUGUGGAUCCAUUUUAUAAUGCGGUCACAGACUACUCCCAUUGUAACUGGAAAACCAAAGAAAAUCAUUGUUUAAAUUAUAAAAUUAUAAUUUUUGGAUUAACUAA